CGUGUAGGCGGCCCGGUAAGUCCGCUGUGAAAGUCGGGGGCUCAACCCUCGAAUGCCGGUGGAUACUGUCGGGCUAGAGUACGGAAGAGGCGAGUGGAAUUCCUGGUGUAGCGGUGAAAUGCGCAGAUAUCAGGAGGAACACCAAUUGCGAAGGCAGCUCGCUGGGACGUUACUGACGCUGAGACGCGAAAGCGUGGGGAGCAAACA
Molecule: ribosomal RNA, 207 nt
Filed under: uncultured bacterium
Lineage: Bacteria
Description: partial 16S ribosomal RNA
Rfam family: Bacterial small subunit ribosomal RNA
Source: RNAcentral